GGACUACACGGGUAUCUAAUCCCUUUCGCUCCCCUAGCUUUCGUUCAUCAGCGUCAAAAAAUUCCUAGUUACCUGCCUACGCCCUUGGAGUUCCUAUCGAUAUCAACGGAUUUCACCCCUACACCGAUAGUUCCAGUAACCCCGAAAUAUUUCAACCUCUUCAGUAUUCUUGCCCUUUCCAGAGUUGAGCUCUGGGCUUUAAACAAAAACUUAAAGAGGCGCCUUUAGAAACGCUUUACGCCCAAUAAAUCCGGACAACGCUUGCACCUCUCGUAUUACCGCGGCGGCUGGCAC
Molecule: ribosomal RNA, 294 nt
Filed under: uncultured bacterium
Lineage: Bacteria
Description: partial 16S ribosomal RNA
Source: RNAcentral